UCCCUCCCGACUGUUUACCAAAAACACAGCACUCUGCUAACUCGUAAGAGGAUGUAUAGGGUGUGACGCCUGCCCGGUGCUCGAAGGUUAAUUGAUGGGGUUAGCAUUAGCGAAGCUCUUGAUCGAAGCCCGAGUAAACGGCGGCCGUAACUAUAACGGUCCUAAGGUAGCGAAAUUCCUUGUCGGUUAAAUACCGACCUGCAUGAAUGGCGUAACGAGAUGGGAGCUGUCUCAAAGAGGGAUCCAGUGAAAUUGUAGUGGAGGUGAAAAUUCCUCCUACCCGCGGCAAGACGGAGAGACCCCGUGGACCUUUACUACAGCUUGACACUGCUAUUUGGAUAAGAAUGUGCAGGAUAGGUGGGAGGCUUUGAGUAUAUGACGCCAGUUGUAUAUGAGCCAUUGUUGAGAUACCACUCUUUCUUAUUUGGGUAGCUAACCAGCUUGAGUUAUCCUCAAGUGGGACAAUGUCUGGUGGGUAGUUUGACUGGGGCGGUCGCCUCCCAAAUAAUAACGGAGGCUUACAAAGGUUGGCUCAGAACGGUUGGAAAUCGUUCGUAGAGUAUAAAGGUAUAAGCCAGCUUAACUGCAAGACAUACAAGUCAAGCAGAGACGAAAGUCGGUCUUAGUGAUCCGGUGGUUCUGUGUGGAAGGGCCAUCGCUCAAAGGAUAAAAGGUACCCCGGGGAUAACAGGCUGAUCUCCCCCAAGAGCUCACAUCGACGGGGAGGUUUGGCACCUCGAUGUCGGCUCAUCGCAUCCUGGGGCUGGAGCAGGUCCCAAGGGUAUGGCUGUUCGCCAUUUAAAGCGGUACGCGAGCUGGGUUCAGAACGUCGUGAGACAGUUCGGUCCCUAUCUGCCGUGGGCGUAAGAAGAUUGAAGAGAUUUGACCCUAGUACGAGAGGACCGGGUUGAACAAACCACUGGUGUAGCUGUUGUUCUGCCAAGAGCAUCGCAGCGUAGCUAAGUUUGGAAAGGAUAAACGCUGAAAGCAUCUAAGCGUGAAGCCAACUCUAAGAUGAAUCUUCUCUAAGCUCUCUAGAAGACUACUAGUUUGAUAGGCUGGGUGUGUAAUGGAUGAAAGUCCUUUAGCUGACCAGUACUAAUAGAGCGUUUGGCUUAUCUUUAAUAAAGCAU
RNAcentral lists this ribosomal RNA (1133 nucleotides) under Campylobacter coli. Its description in RNAcentral is "partial 23S ribosomal RNA". It matches the Rfam family "Bacterial large subunit ribosomal RNA", at positions 1790 to 2925 of the family's 2925-position model. Lineage: Bacteria; Pseudomonadati; Campylobacterota; Epsilonproteobacteria; Campylobacterales; Campylobacteraceae. The record is from RNAcentral.